This 253-nucleotide ribosomal RNA is filed under the name uncultured bacterium. RNAcentral's name for it is "partial 16S ribosomal RNA". It matches the Rfam family "Bacterial small subunit ribosomal RNA", at positions 524 to 776 of the family's 1533-position model. The record is from RNAcentral.
UACGUAGGGGGCAAGCGUUGUCCGGAUUUAUUGGGCGUAAAGAGCGUGUAGGCGGCCUGGUAGGUCAGUUGUAAAAACUCGAGGCUCAACCUCGAGACGCCGAUUGAAACCAUCAGGCUAGAGUCCGGAAGAGGAGAGUGGAAUUCCCGGUGUAGCGGUGAAAUGCGCAGAUAUCGGGAAGAACACCCGUGGCUAAGGCGGCUCUCUAGUACGGUACUGACGCUGAGACGCGAAAGCGUGGGGAGCGAACAGG